CGAAGAAGCUGAACGCGGAUGCCUCGUUACUAUAGCUAACUAGCUCUUCAUUAUAUUUUUUACAUUAUAUAUUCAUACAACAAAGUGUUAUGCAUAACAAUGCGGGCGUUCUUAAUUGCCUGUUCAAAAACUAUACCUUUUAUUGUGCCAAUAAAAUACAUUUAUUUUGUUUGGAUCUGAUUCUGAGUUAUUCAUAACCUAACAUACUAGUACACUUGUAGUUCUGGUAACGUAUUAAAUCUUCAGCACGUACAUGUCCACUUUUGUAUUUCAACUAAUGUAAUGGGGACGUACAGCUAGCAGAGUAUGUGACUU
This is a non-coding RNA of Paramuricea clavata, 315 nucleotides long. The record is from the annotation of a GenBank genome assembly. NCBI's taxonomy places the organism in Eukaryota, Metazoa, Cnidaria, Anthozoa, Malacalcyonacea, Plexauridae.